UUACCACAUGAGUAAUUUGGGUAUACAGUAGGAAAAAGCACUCACCCAAUGUCGUGGCACCUGUAUUGCAUGAGGUUUUCACUCAUUCUUUAAACAGAGAUUCCCUGAAAGUCUACAAUCCGCAAAGUAAAGAGAUGGCUGUUGACAUUUUUUCAGCAGGUUCACAAUGUGGUGAAGAAUUCCAUCACUAACAGCUUGAAGGACCUCAACUUCCAGGCUGGAAGUGAUACACUUCUCCCUCAUGAACACAAACAGCCCAGCCGUCUAAAUCUCCCGCUCGUCUUCCUCUUCAGAUUUGUGAGACUUUAAAUGUGAAGAUAUUUAUUUCUGUUCUGCAGGGCCAGUUUCUGAAUGCAGAAGGAAGAGAAGGAGCAAACGAGAGCAGGCAGCAGGCAGAAGACAGCUUAGUCAUCUUGCCCUGUAUCCCAAAGGAGCUUCGAACCAGCAAGGUGCAAGCAGGAACAGAAAAAUGCUUCACGGACAGUAGUAAUCAAGCAAAAACUGAAAGAUUGGCAUAAAAAAACAAAUACUUUUUUUUUUAAGUUACAGGCACAAUUUUCAGGGUGCCAGGAAGCACUUGAA
This is a long non-coding RNA of Prionailurus viverrinus (fishing cat), 582 nucleotides long. RefSeq lists it as uncharacterized. Lineage: Eukaryota; Metazoa; Chordata; Mammalia; Carnivora; Felidae. The transcript has 3 exons. The record is from RefSeq and is a predicted model, not a curated record.